UACCAGCACCCCGAGUGGUCGGGACGAUUAUUGGGCCUAGAGCAUCCGUAGCCGGUCAUGCAAGUCUUCCGUUAAAUCCAGCCGCUCAACGGUUGGGCUGCGGAGGAUACUACGUGGCUAGGAGGCGGGAGAGGCAAGCGGUACUCAGUGGGUAGGGGUAAAAUCCUUUGAUCCAUUGAAGACCACCAGUGGCGAAGGCGGCUUGCCAGAACGCGCUCGACGGUGAGGGAUGAAAGCUGGGGGAGCAAACCGG
This 253-nucleotide ribosomal RNA is filed under the name uncultured bacterium. RNAcentral's name for it is "partial 16S ribosomal RNA". It matches the Rfam family "Archaeal small subunit ribosomal RNA", at positions 474 to 727 of the family's 1478-position model. The record is from RNAcentral.